GACGAACGCUGGCGGCGUGCUUAACACAUGCAAGUCGAACGGAAAGGCCCUGCUUUUGUGGGGUGCUCGAGUGGCGAACGGGUGAGUAACACGUGAGUAACCUGCCCUUGACUUUGGGAUAACUUCAGGAAACUGGGGCUAAUACCGGAUAGGAGCUCCUGCUGCAUGGUGGGGGUUGGAAAGUUUCGGCGGUUGGGGAUGGACUCGCGGCUUAUGAGCUUGUUGGUGGGGUAGUGGCUUACCAAGGCUUUGACGGGUAGCCGGCCUGAGAGGUUGACCGGGGACAUUGGGCCUACGAGACGGCGCAGACGCGUACGGGCGGCAACAGGGGGAAGCCUGGCAGAGUGGGCGGAAGCGUGAGGUAGAGGCGUCGGGUGCGUGAUGCCGUCUUUCGGGGGGUAAACCGCUUUGGCAUGUGACGAAGCGGGAGUGACGGUAAUGGGUAAAGAAGCACCGGCUAACUACGUG
This 468-nucleotide ribosomal RNA is filed under the name uncultured bacterium. RNAcentral's name for it is "partial 16S ribosomal RNA". It matches the Rfam family "Bacterial small subunit ribosomal RNA", at positions 28 to 507 of the family's 1533-position model. The record is from RNAcentral.